This 635-nucleotide long non-coding RNA is filed under the name Coccomyxa subellipsoidea. Its description in RNAcentral is "long non-coding RNA (CSUB_LNC000346)". The record is from RNAcentral. Lineage: Eukaryota; Viridiplantae; Chlorophyta; Trebouxiophyceae; Coccomyxaceae.
UGCCAGCUGCGGUUGCCAGGUGUCUUGCCAUCCCACAUGAGUGUCAUGCGCAGUUCAUUCGCCAGCCAACGCGUGAGGCAUCGCCUUUCCCACGGCCUGACACACCAGAAAACAUAUCUUCUAUAUCUUGUUUCACCCUGGAAUAUUAUUCUUACUAUUAUUGCACACUUUCCUGCCAGAGGCAAGGUGCGUUGCAGCAACCUAUCGAUAAUACCUUUCAGCCUUCUCUGUCUUGGCACUUUCUCCACCAAUGGCAUGCCAACCAAUGAAGUCCAGGUCAUCCCUUACGAAAAUCAUUCCAGGAGUUGACAGGCCUGCCUAAAAACUAGUAUUCCUUCAAACCAUUCGGAGGCUCACAACGAGAAAGCCAGUUGCUGGCUGACCCAGCUGCAGGCCUUCACACAAGCCAGUUUAGGCAGAUUAGUUGGAUUGAAAGAGACACAUUAUGCUUCAACCAAAUCAGGCGCCAUGUGAUCAGGCAGUGCCAUACCUCAUUUGCAGGAUGGCGUCGAGAAUGUCACAGUCAGGGAUGGUUGAAGCAUCGGGCUGCGGAGCCUCCAGCCUCAAUGCAUGUGCCACCAGUUUCCUGACGGCUCUGAAGAUCGGCCGCUUUGCGCCACUGCUUCCAGCCUCUG